RNAcentral lists this ribosomal RNA (252 nucleotides) under uncultured bacterium. RNAcentral describes it as "partial 16S ribosomal RNA". It matches the Rfam family "Bacterial small subunit ribosomal RNA", at positions 524 to 776 of the family's 1533-position model. The record is from RNAcentral.
UACGUAGGUCCCGAGCGCUGUCCGGAUUUAUUGGGCGUAAAGCGAGCGCAGGUGGUUUAUUAAGUCUGGUGUAAAAGGCAGUGGCUCAACCAUUGUAUGCAUUGGAAACUGGUAGACUUGAGUGCAGGAGAGGAGAGUGGUAUUCCAUGUGUAGCGGUGAAAUGCGUAGAUAUAUGGAGGAACACCGGUGGCGAAAGCGGCUCUCUGGCCUGUAACUGACACUGAGGCUCGAAAGCGUGGGGAGCAAACAGG